AUUGAACGCUGGCGGCAUGCCUUACACAUGCAAGUCGAACGGUAACAGGUCUUCGGAUGCUGACGAGUGGCGAACGGGUGAGUAAUACAUCGGAACGUGCCCGAUCGUGGGGGAUAACGAGGCGAAAGCUUUGCUAAUACCGCAUACGAUCUACGGAUGAGAGCGGGGGAUCUUCGGACCUCGCGCGGACGGAGCGGCCGAUGGCAGAUUAGGUAGUUGGUGGGAUAAAAGCUUACCAAGCCGACGAUCUGUAGCUGGUCUGAGAGGAUGAUCAGCCACACUGGGACUGAGACACGGCCCAGACUCCUACGGGAGGCAGCAGUGGGGAAUUUUGGACAAUGGGCGAAAGCCUGAUCCAGCCAUGCCGCGUGCAGGAUGAAGGCCUUCGGGUUGUAAACUGCUUUUGUACGGAACGAAAAGCCUCUUUCUAAUAAAGAGGGGUCAUGACGGUACCGUAAGAAUAAGCACCGGCUAACUACGUG
This 482-nucleotide ribosomal RNA is filed under the name uncultured bacterium. RNAcentral describes it as "partial 16S ribosomal RNA". It matches the Rfam family "Bacterial small subunit ribosomal RNA", at positions 30 to 507 of the family's 1533-position model. The record is from RNAcentral.